GAUGAACGCUAGCUGCAGGCUUAACACAUGCAAGUCGAGGGGUAACGAGAGGAAAGCUUGCUUUCCUUGUCGACGACCGGCGCACGGGUGAGUAACGCGUAUCCAACCUGCCCCCAACUAGGGAAUAACCUUGCGAAAGUAAGACUAAUACCCUAUAAUUUCCUCAGAUGCCAUCUGACGAGGAAUAAAGAUUUAUCGGUUGUGGAUGGGGAUGCUUCUGAUUAGCUUGUUGGCGGGGUAACGGCCAACCAAGGCAACGAUCAGUAGGGGUUCUGAGAGGAAGGUCCCCCACAUUGGAACUGAGACACGGUCCAAACUCCUACGGGAGGCAGCAGUGAGGAAUAUUGGUCAAUGGGCGGAAGCCUGAACCAGCCAAGUAGCGUGCAGGAUGACGGCCCUAUGGGUUGUAAACUGCUUUUAUACAGGAAUAAAGUUAGCCACGUGUGGUUAUUUGUAGGUACUGUAUGAAUAAGGACCGGCUAAUUCCGUGCCAGCCGCCGCCGUAA
RNAcentral lists this ribosomal RNA (506 nucleotides) under uncultured bacterium. RNAcentral's name for it is "partial 16S ribosomal RNA". It matches the Rfam family "Bacterial small subunit ribosomal RNA", at positions 28 to 523 of the family's 1533-position model. The record is from RNAcentral.